Molecule: transfer RNA, 42 nt
Filed under: Myodes glareolus (Bank vole)
Lineage: Eukaryota; Metazoa; Chordata; Mammalia; Rodentia; Cricetidae
Description: partial tRNA-Thr
Source: RNAcentral
GCCCUGAUNGUAUAAACAUUACACUGGUCUUGUAAACCAGAA